GGUUUGUGGCUCAGUGGUAGAGCGCGCUCGCCUAGCAUGUGCAAGGCCCUGGGUUCAGUCCUCAGCACCA
This 70-nucleotide transfer RNA is filed under the name Marmota monax (woodchuck). RNAcentral describes it as "tRNA.Ala". The record is from RNAcentral. Lineage: Eukaryota; Metazoa; Chordata; Mammalia; Rodentia; Sciuridae.